GGAAGUAAAAGUCGUAACAAGGUUUCCGUAGGUGAACCUGCGGAAGGAUCAUUACCACACCAUUAAAAAACUUUCCACGUGAACCUGUACUAUUUGUUUUGUGCUCUUUCUGUUUCUGACUGUUGCUGGUUUAUCUGGCGACGGAUGGAAGGGAUCGAGCUGAACGAAGGCGUCUUUUUUCUCAUUGAGUUAGAAGAUGCCGAUGUACUUUUCAAACCCCUUUUACCUAAUUACUGAUCAUACUCUGAGAACGAAAGUUCUUAGUUUUAAUAGACAACAACUUUCAGCAGUGGAUGUCUAGGCUCGCACAUCGAUGAAGAACGCUGC
Molecule: ribosomal RNA, 327 nt
Filed under: Salilagenidium thermophilum
Lineage: Eukaryota; Oomycota; Peronosporomycetes; Pythiales; Lagenidiaceae
Description: partial ribosomal RNA
Rfam family: Eukaryotic small subunit ribosomal RNA (bases 1-54)
Source: RNAcentral